UGAUCGACAGAGGGUACCCUGGUAAACUGGUGGAGGAAGCUUAUCGUAAAACGAGAGACUGGGAAGGUACAAAGUCCAAAAAGAAAAAAAGAGAAGAAAGCCUAAAGACACCAUCCAGAAAAAGAAACAUGGAAGAAGAGGACACAGAGGAGGAAGAAGAAACCGAAAAAGGAACACAGAAAAAGAAGGAAAUGACGUUUCCUGGAACGCAUGGUGGAGCCAUGUGAUCGGGCGCCGACCGGAAGUCCGUCACAUGCUGCACGAUGCCGCCCGGAAGACCCAGACACGAGAAGACCCAGAGGAAAGAUAUUUAUAUCGUAUGUA
Hyla sarda is the source of this 324-nucleotide long non-coding RNA. RefSeq lists it as uncharacterized. Lineage: Eukaryota; Metazoa; Chordata; Amphibia; Anura; Hylidae. The transcript has 3 exons. The record is from RefSeq and is a predicted model, not a curated record.